This 253-nucleotide ribosomal RNA is filed under the name uncultured bacterium. Its description in RNAcentral is "partial 16S ribosomal RNA". It matches the Rfam family "Bacterial small subunit ribosomal RNA", at positions 524 to 776 of the family's 1533-position model. The record is from RNAcentral.
UACGUAGGCAGCGAGCGUUGUUCGGAGUUACUGGGCGUAAAGAGUGCGUAGGCGGUUUUCUAAGUUUGGUGUGAAAUCUCCCGGCUCAACUGGGAGGGUGCGCCGAAGACUGGAAGGCUUGAGUAUGGGAGAGGUAAGCGGAAUUCCUGGUGUAGCGGUGAAAUGCGUAGAUAUCAGGAGGAACACCGGUGGCGAAGGCGGCCAACUGGACGAAUACUGACGCUGAGACACGAAAGCGUGGGGAGCAAACAGG